RNAcentral lists this long non-coding RNA (478 nucleotides) under Durio zibethinus. Its description in RNAcentral is "long non-coding RNA (DZIB_LNC000311)". Lineage: Eukaryota; Viridiplantae; Streptophyta; Magnoliopsida; Malvales; Malvaceae. The record is from RNAcentral.
UUUCUUUUUAGCCGUUCUUGGCUGCCGCCCUGCGCAGCUUUAGAAAGGAGGAGAAUUCGAUUUAGAAAGAGGGAGAUGAGCGUUGGUUUUUCCAAGGAAAGAAUGGGAAUGGGAGUUAGUGACAAAGUCUAUUUCCCUCGGUAAGGAACCAUCAAAAGAUGGCAAAAAAGACUCCUUUUAAAGAGAGGUGGCCUCGUUUUUGACAUGCCAUUUACAGGGAAAUGCUAUUUGCUAAUUUUUCCAGAGGAAGGGGAACGAUCGGCGGUAAAAGUAAUUUUUUAGAUUAUCCCAACUUAUUGGCAAAAUCCAAAAAUAUUUUUACUUGCACUAAUUAAAGAAAAUUAAACUCUUUUAAUUUUCUUUAGAAAAUUACAUUUCAAAAAAUUUAUUUAGAUAGCCCAUUAUUUUAUUUUAUUUAUUAUUUGUAAAUUUUUUUUAGCAAAAAUAAUUUUUUGUGUUAUCCCAAUACUUUGGUGAA